Molecule: ribosomal RNA, 424 nt
Filed under: uncultured prokaryote
Description: bacterial SSU rRNA
Rfam family: Bacterial small subunit ribosomal RNA
Source: RNAcentral
UGGGGAAUCUUGGACAAUGGGCGCAAGCCUGAUCCAGCCAUGCCGCGUGAGUGAUGAAGGCCCUAGGGUUGUAAAGCUCUUUCACCGGAGACGAUAAUGACGGUAUCCGGAGAAGAAGCCCCGGCUAACUUCGUGCCAGCAGCCGCGGUAAUACGAAAGGGGCUAGCGUUGUUCGGAAUUACUGGGCGUAAAGCGCGCGUAGGCGGCAUGCCAAGUUGGGGGUGAAAUCCCUGGGCUCAACCCAGGAACUGCCUCCAAAACUGGCAAGCUAGAGGAUGUGAGAGGAUAGUGGAAUUCCGAGUGUAGAGGUGAAAUUCGUAGAUAUUCGGAAGAACACCAGUGGCGAAGGCGACUGUCUGGCACAUUUCUGACGCUGAGGUGCGAAAGCGUGGGGAGCAAACAGGAUUAGAUACCCCCGUAGUCC